Molecule: ribosomal RNA, 455 nt
Filed under: uncultured bacterium
Lineage: Bacteria
Description: SSU rRNA
Rfam family: Bacterial small subunit ribosomal RNA
Source: RNAcentral
AGGAUGAACGCUGGCGGCGUGCCUAAUACAUGCAAGUCGAGCGGUAAGGCCACUUCGGUGGUACACGAGCGGCGGACGGCAGAGUAACGCGUGGGAAUCUACCCCAAACUGAGGGAUAAGCACCAGAAAUGGUGUCUAAUACCGCAUAUGCUCUUCGGAGUAAAGCUACGGCGGUUUGGGAAGAGCCUGCGUAUGAUUAGCUUGUUGGUAAGGUAAAAGCUUACCAAGGCGACGAUCAUUAGCUGGUCUGAGAGGAUGAUCAGCCUGACUGGGACUGAGAACGGCCCAGACUCCUACGGGAGGCAGCAGUAGGGAAUUUUCCACAAUGGGCGAAAGCCUGAUGGAGCAACGCCGCGUGCAGGAUGAAUGCCUUAGGGUUGUAAACUGCUUUUAUAUGUGAAGAUUAUGACGGUAGCAUAUGAAUAAGGAUCGGCUAACUCCGUGCCAGCAGCCGC